RNAcentral lists this ribosomal RNA (1247 nucleotides) under metagenome. Its description in RNAcentral is "SSU rRNA". It matches the Rfam family "Eukaryotic small subunit ribosomal RNA", at positions 542 to 1783 of the family's 1831-position model. The record is from RNAcentral.
UAUCCAUUGGAGGGCAAGUCUGGUGCCAGCAGCUGCGGUAAUACCAGCUCCGAUAGCGUAUAUUAAAGUUGUUGCAGUUAAAAAGCUCGUAGUUGGACUUGUGUGCGCUGUCCGCGGGUGGCCUGCGCCCAAAAGGGCGUUUCGGUUCGGCCCCGGUGGCGCCUCGAAAUCUGCAGCUGGGGGGACGUUGGCCUUAACUGGUCGGCGACCGCACGCCGGCUGCUCGGUUACUGUGAGAAAAUUAGAGUGUUCAAGGCAGGCAUUGGGUGCAAUUGAAUACAUUAGCAUGGAAUAAUAAAAUAUGGCUCCUGCCGUAUUUUGUUGGUUUUGACUGGUGGGAGUAAUGAUUGAUAGGGACGGUUGGGGGUGCUAGUAUUGAGCGGCCAGAGGUGAAAUUCAUGGAUUCGCUCAAGACUAACUUAUGCGAAAGCAUUCACCAAGGACGUCCUCUUUAAUCAAGAACGAAAGUUGGGGGAUCGAAGACGAUCAGAUACCGUCGUAGUCUCAACCAUAAACUAUGUCGACUUGGGAUCGGCGGUAGUUUUUUCAUUAAGACACUGUCGGGACCACGGGAGAAAUCAAAGUGUCUGGACUCUGGGGGAAGUAUGGUCGCAAGGCUGAAACUUGAAGGAAUUGACGGAAGGGCACCACCAGGAGUGGAGCCUGCGGCUUAAUUUGACUCAACACGGGGAAACUUACCAGGUCCAGAGAUGUAGAGGAUUGACAGAUUGAAGCUCUUUCUUGAUCACUUCGGUGGUGGUGCAUGGCCGUUCUUAGUUGGUGGAGUGAUUUGUCUGGUUAAUUCCGUUAACGAACGAGACCUCAGCCUGCUAGUGUAGUCGGCUGGAUUGCCUUUGGCGAUCCGUGAUUUCGACUUCUUAGAGGGACAAUCGACGCGCAGUCGAUGGAAGUUUGAGGCAAUAACAGGUCUGUGAUGCCCUUAGAUGUUCUGGGCCGCACGCGCGCUACACUGCUGGGCUCAGCGAGUUUUACUUGGCCGAGAGGCCCGGUUAAUCUUGUGAAAUCCCAGCGUGCUUGGGCUCGCCUCCUGCAACUGGAGGCGCCAACGAGGAAUUCCUAGUAGACGCAGGUCAUCAACCUGCAUCGAUUACGUCCCUGCCCUUGUACACACCGCCCGUCGUUCCAUAAGAGUGAGGCAUCCGGUGAAUUCUCGGGAGAGCCUGGGCGUGGCCAGCAAUGGUCUGCUCGGGUUUGAACUUGCAUAAACUUGGUGCCUAUGAUUAGGG